UACAGAGGUCUCAAGCGUUGUUCGGAUUCAUUGGGCGUAAAGGGUGCGUAGGCGGCGCGGUAAGUCGGGUGUGAAAUCUCGGAGCUUAACUCCGAAACUGCAUUCGAUACUGCCGUGCUUGAGGACUGGAGAGGAGACUGGAAUUUACGGUGUAGCGGUGAAAUGCGCAGAUAUCAGGAGGAACACCGAUGGCGAAGGCAGCUCGCUGGGACGGUACUGACGCUGAGGCGCGAAAGCGUGGGGAGCAACAGG
Molecule: ribosomal RNA, 252 nt
Filed under: uncultured bacterium
Lineage: Bacteria
Description: partial 16S ribosomal RNA
Rfam family: Bacterial small subunit ribosomal RNA
Source: RNAcentral